RNAcentral lists this ribosomal RNA (399 nucleotides) under uncultured bacterium. RNAcentral's name for it is "bacterial SSU rRNA". It matches the Rfam family "Bacterial small subunit ribosomal RNA", at positions 361 to 774 of the family's 1533-position model. The record is from RNAcentral.
AUAUUGGGCAAUGGGCGCAAGCCUGACCCAGCAACGCCGCGUGAAGGAAGAAGGCUUUCGGGUUGUAAACUUCUUUUCUCAGGGACGAAGAAAAUGACGGUACCUGAGGAAUAAGCCACGGCUAACUACGUGCCAGCAGCCGCGGUAAUACGUAGGUGGCAAGCGUUGUCCGGAUUUACUGGGUGUAAAGGGCGUGCAGCCGGGCUGGUAAGUCAGAUGUGAAAUCUGGAGGCUCAACCUCCAAACUGCAUUUGAAACUGCUGGUCUUGAGUACCGGAGAGGUUAUCGGAAUUCCUUGUGUAGCGGUGAAAUGCGUAGAUAUAAGGAAGAACACCAGUGGCGAAGGCGGAUAACUGGACGGCAACUGACGGUGAGGCGCGAAAGCGUGGGGAGCAAACA